This 760-nucleotide ribosomal RNA is filed under the name uncultured bacterium. RNAcentral's name for it is "bacterial SSU rRNA". It matches the Rfam family "Bacterial small subunit ribosomal RNA", at positions 8 to 796 of the family's 1533-position model. The record is from RNAcentral.
AGAGUUUGAUCAUGGCUCAGCCUGAACGCUGGCGGCGUGGCUAAGACAUGCAAGUCGCACGGGGUAGCAAUACCCAGUGGCGAACGGGAGAGUAAUGAAUCGCUAACGUACCCCGGACUCUGGGAUAGCUGCCCGAAAGGGCAGGUAAUACCAGAUAACAUAUUUCCUAGGCAUCUAGGGAAUCUCAAAGGUCCGCCGGUCUGGGAGCGGGCGAUUUCGUAUCAGCUAGUUGGUGAGGUAACGGCUCACCAAGGCGACGACGCGUAGCCGGACUGAGAGGUUGGCCGGCCUCAUUGGGACUGAGACACUGCCCAGACUCCUACGGGGGGCUGCAGUAACGAAUCUUCCGCAAUGCACGAAAGUGUGACGGAGCGACGCCGCGUGUGGGACGAAGUCCUUCGGGAUGUAAACCACUGUCAGGGGUUACCAAGUUCUGAGGAGCCCCAGAGGAAGGCACGGCUAACUCUGUGCCAGCAGCCGCGGUAAGACAGAGGUGCCAAGCGUUAGGCGGAAUCACUGGGCUUAAAGCGUGUGUAGGCGGAAUUCUAAGUACCUUGUGAAAUCCCACAGCUCAACUGUGGAACUGCUCGGUAUACUGGUUUUCUUGAGCCACUUAGGGGGCUGUCGGAACAAAUGGUGGAGCGGUGAAAUGCGUAGAUAUCAUUUGGAACGCCAACGGUGAAAACAGACAGCUGGGAGUGUGCUGACGCUGAGACACGAAAGCCAGGGGAGCGAACGGGAUUAGAUACCCUAGUAGUCC